Molecule: long non-coding RNA, 224 nt
Filed under: Musa acuminata (dwarf banana)
Lineage: Eukaryota; Viridiplantae; Streptophyta; Magnoliopsida; Zingiberales; Musaceae
Description: long non-coding RNA (MACU_LNC004648)
Source: RNAcentral
UUAAAGCAUUAAGUACAGAAUUGAUCAAAACUCAAACAACUUGGAGUAGAGGGGUACCCUGCCAUUGCCCAAGUAUGCUAGAUAAAGGCUGAAUCAUAGUUAACAUCAGAAAUGGAGAUUCUUCUAGGAGCAAUGAGCGCAUGUCAGGAUAUUGAAAGGAGAAAUAUUUGCCCUUCGGAAUAUUGAAAUGAUUGUAAAUUUUUCUUUCGGUGACCUGAUUAAUG